CCCGUGAUAGCUCAGUUGGUAGAGCGGAGGACUGUAGAUCCUUAGGUCGCUGGUUCAAAUCCGCCUCGCGGGA
RNAcentral lists this transfer RNA (73 nucleotides) under Haliotis rubra (blacklip abalone). RNAcentral's name for it is "tRNA-Tyr". It matches the Rfam family "tRNA". From Rfam's summary of the family: Transfer RNA (tRNA) molecules are approximately 80 nucleotides in length. The record is from RNAcentral. Lineage: Eukaryota; Metazoa; Mollusca; Gastropoda; Lepetellida; Haliotidae.